CCCGUAGUUGCUCAUCGGGGGUUCUCCCCCCGUGUACUCUUCUAUGGGCAGGCCAGCAUCAGUCCGGGCGGUUGGAGAAAGACCUGUGUCAUGUAGCUGUUUUCGGGCAGUGUUAUAGGGCAGGUGGAAUGCAACCAGCCUGGACUGAGGUCCGCGCAUCUGCUAGGAUGCUGGCGUAAUGGCUGUAAGCGGCCCGUCUUGAAACACGGACCAAGGAGUCUAACAUCUAUGCGAGUGUUUGGGUGUCAAGCCCGAGCGCGUAAUGAAAGUGAACGGAGGUGGGAACCUUUUAGGUGCACCAUCGACCGAUCCUGAUGUCUUCGGAUGGAUUUGAGUAAGAGCAUAGCUGUUGGGACCCGAAAGAUGGUGAACUAUGCCUGAAUAGGGUGAAGCCAGAGGAAACUCUGGUGGAGGCUCGCAGCGGUUCUGACGUGCAAAUCGAUCGUCAAAUUUGGGCAUAGGGGCGAAAGACUAAUCGAACUAUCUAGUAGCUGGUUCCUGCCGAAGUUUCCCUCAGGAUAGCAGUAACGUUUUCAGUUUUAUGAGGUAAAGCGAAUGAUUAGAGGCCUGGGGGUUGAAACAACCUUCACCUAUUCUCAAACUUUAAAUAUGUAAGAAGUCCUUGUUUCUUAAUUGAACGUGGACAUUUGAAUGUAUCGUUACUAGUGGGCCAUUUUUGGUAAGCAGAACUGGCGAUGCGGGAUGAACCGAACGCGGGGUUAAGGUGCCAGAAUGCACGCUCAUCAGACACCACAAAAGGUGUUAGUUCAUCUAG
This 775-nucleotide ribosomal RNA is filed under the name uncultured Ascomycota. RNAcentral describes it as "LSU rRNA". It matches the Rfam family "Eukaryotic large subunit ribosomal RNA", at positions 440 to 1236 of the family's 3401-position model. Lineage: Eukaryota; Fungi; Ascomycota. The record is from RNAcentral.